GCCGAGUUGAGUUAUGUCAGCUUGUGACUCAAGUGGGGGCACCAAGGUGAUGGAACAGUUCUUUGGCUUUGCUGGGUUGGGCUGCGGCUGCAAUGUGUUGGCCUGUCCGCUCCAAGUUGAGAAUUGAAUCAUGGGACCUAAGCGAAGGCAUAGGUCUCCUGGUUCUUAGAGUGGAGGGCACUGCGUGAGGCUGGUUUCACAGAACAGCGAACACCUCCCAUUCCCAACAGUGGAGGGAUAACAGGUUGCUGCAAUCACAGUCCACCAUGGCCUGGUGAGCCUAGAUUCUUGAACCAUCACUUUU
Molecule: non-coding RNA, 304 nt
Organism: Glycine soja
Lineage: Eukaryota; Viridiplantae; Streptophyta; Magnoliopsida; Fabales; Fabaceae
Source: Rfam